GCUUGAGCACACGGUAGAUGUACACGGAGUAGGAUUCUUUACGGGCAUGACGUCUCUUCUUUCCGUCCUUUGGCUUGGUGACGGUCUUGGCGGCUUUCUUUGCUCCUUUAGCAGACGGCUUUGGUGGGGCCAUUUCGAUUGAUUGGACUGGUCGUUGGACAAGUGUAAGGAAUGGGUUGUUGGCCAUUACCUUUAUAACAAUUUUUCGGUGGGAAGGAGGAGCCUAUUGACAUUCUGUGGGGACACCUUUCUAUGCUGUCUCUCAUGCCGAAUGUACAAAGUGCAUAGUUUUUCUUGGUCACUCUGCCACUUCCCCCAUCUGUCUUAUCUCUAUGUGCCCGCCUAGUCACCGCAGCUGUGUUUAAAAGGGUG
Non-coding RNA from Caenorhabditis elegans, 372 nucleotides. The record is from Ensembl. Lineage: Eukaryota; Metazoa; Nematoda; Chromadorea; Rhabditida; Rhabditidae.